CUACGGGUGGCAGCAGUCGAGGAAAUUUUACAAUGCUCGAAAGAGUGAUAAAAUGAGUCAGAGUGUUUCUUUUAAAGAAACUUUUUUCUACUGUAAAAAGGUAGAAGAAUAAGGACUGGGUAAGAUCGGUGCCAGCCGCCGCGGUAAUACCGGCGGUCCAAGUUGCAUCCACAUUUAUUGGGUCUAAAACAUCCGUAGCUUGUUUUAUAAGUCUCUUGUGAAAUCUUGUAUCUCAAAUACAAGGCGUGCAAGAGAUACUAUAUUGCUAGAGACCGGAAGACGCAAAGAGUAUGAUUAGGGUAGCGGUAAAAUGUGUUAAUCUUAAUUAGACUAACAAUAGCGAAGGCACUUUGCGAGUACGGAUCUGACAGUGAGGGAUGAAGGCUAGGAGCGCAAAAGGGAUUAGAUACCCUUGUAGUC
This 420-nucleotide ribosomal RNA is filed under the name uncultured archaeon. RNAcentral describes it as "partial 16S ribosomal RNA". It matches the Rfam family "Archaeal small subunit ribosomal RNA", at positions 323 to 746 of the family's 1478-position model. The record is from RNAcentral.